This 497-nucleotide ribosomal RNA is filed under the name uncultured bacterium. RNAcentral's name for it is "partial 16S ribosomal RNA". It matches the Rfam family "Bacterial small subunit ribosomal RNA", at positions 28 to 507 of the family's 1533-position model. The record is from RNAcentral.
GAUGAACGCUGGCGGCGUGCCUAAUACAUGCAAGUCGAGCGAACAGACGAGGAGCUUGCUCCUCUGACGUUAGCGGCGGACGGGUGAGUAACACGUGGAUAACCUACCUAUAAGACUGGGAUAACUUCGGGAAACCGGAGCUAAUACCGGAUAAUAUAUUGAACCGCAUGGUUCAAUAGUGAAAGACGGUUUUGCUGUCACUUAUAGAUGGAUCCGCGCCGCAUUAGCUAGUUGGUAAGGUAACGGCUUACCAAGGCAACGAUGCGUAGCCGACCUGAGAGGGUGAUCGGCCACACUGGAACUGGGACACGGUCCAGACUCCUACGGGAGGCCGCAGUAGGGAAUCUUCCGCAAUGGGCGAAAGCUUGACGGAGCAACGCCGCGUGAGUGAUGAAGGUCUUCGGAUCGUAAAACUCUGUUAUUAGGGAAGAACAAAUGUGUAAGUAACUAUGCACGUCUUGACGGUACCUUAUCAGAAAGCCACGGCUAACUACGUG